This is a non-coding RNA of Pogona vitticeps (central bearded dragon), 828 nucleotides long. The record is from RefSeq and is a predicted model, not a curated record. Lineage: Eukaryota; Metazoa; Chordata; Lepidosauria; Squamata; Agamidae.
GUUUCUUUUUUUAUAUAAAGGUUGCCUGCUGAGAGCUGAUUUUGCUAGGCUGUUUUAAAGGGAGGUCUGAAGACUUCUGCUUUAAAAGAAAUGGCCUUAGAACACAGCUCUGCCAUGAAUGAUAGCUGUAGAUCGGACAAGCCUAUCUGUUUUAUCUGGGGAUGUCAGCUAAAUGACGAGAACCGAACCUACACAUUUGACAUCCCAGAGGACUGGUCGUAUGAGCAGCAAUUAACUCUGAGGACGAUCUGUCUAGGUGAAAAUGCCAAGGAUGAAUUCAAUAUCGUGGAGAUUUUACCUCCAAAGGAUAGCAAGGAAUCGACUCCAGUGCACAUAGCAACACUGAAGCUUUCAGUGCUCCCAAUGACAACCCUAGCAGGAUUUGAGAUGACUCCUCCCAUCACAUUCAGACUGAAAUCAGGAUCUGGACCGGUCUUCCUUGCUGGGCAACAUGUCACAGUCGGCUUACAGUGGGAUGAAGAGGAGGAGGAGGAAGAAUCAUCAUCAUCAUCAGAGGAAGAUGAGGAGGAACAGAGUUCUUCUAAGGAAGGGUCUCCCGUAAAUCCUGUCAGGCAGCCACCUGCCAAACGUACAUUUGCUGCCAAGAAAGAACAAGAACAGGCUGCCCAGGAACAGCCUCAGGGGAAAAGAACUGGAAAAGGGAGGAAGCCUGCUGCAAAAGGAGAACUAAGAGUAUGAGUUCUGAUGGAAGGUGAGGAUGGAAUGGACUUCCUCAUGCCUUUUCAGAGAGGAAAGACUGGAAGAGAAGCGUUGGAUCUAUUUAAUGCCAUGAGAAAGGAAUAAAAUGCAUAUAGUCCCUAUUUUGAA